RNAcentral lists this long non-coding RNA (522 nucleotides) under Prunus persica (peach). Its description in RNAcentral is "long non-coding RNA (PPER_LNC001103)". Lineage: Eukaryota; Viridiplantae; Streptophyta; Magnoliopsida; Rosales; Rosaceae. The record is from RNAcentral.
GAUGAUUGUUUAUAUAAAUAUUGUGUAAUUGAAUAAAUAUCACAAAACCAAGUUUGGUGUAGUGGUUUGCGAGUGAGGCUUCCUCCUUUGAGGGUCAAUGUUCGAGUCCCUUUAAUGACACAAUAUCUCCUAUUUUUUUAGGGUGAAUAAAGGACAAUGGAGUUGGUCCCCAGUUGGCCGGAGAUGGGUGGCUAUAGGUGGCGGUGGUUGGCCGGUGAUGGGUGGCGGCGGCUGUCGGCGUUGGUGGCAGCUGGUCAGAAAGGGGUUGGCCGGCGACAAGUGGUUGGUGAUGGUGAUUGGCCGACUGCGGUGGUGGCAGCUGGCCGGAAGGGGCUGUAGGUGGUGGUGGUUGGCCGGCGAUGGCAGCAGUAACUGGCCGGUGGUGGUGGCAACUGAUCGGAAGGGAGAUUGCUGAGAUGGACAUGUAGCAUAGUGUGCACUCCUUUAAAGGAGUGGCAUUGUGUGUAAUUUUGAUGUUUUUUAGUUAAUUAUUGUAAAAUUAGGUACUACUUGUAUUCCUAU